Hydra vulgaris (swiftwater hydra) is the source of this 145-nucleotide non-coding RNA. The record is from RefSeq and is a predicted model, not a curated record. Lineage: Eukaryota; Metazoa; Cnidaria; Hydrozoa; Anthoathecata; Hydridae.
AUUAUAAAAAUAUACAUAAUGACAACAGAUUUAUCAUUAGAAAUGUUCGCAAAAUUUUUGGUUUGGAUACAAAAAACCAAGUGAAAAUGAUACUGGAAAGACUGUUUACCGUUUGACUCCUGUCCCAAUCUAAUCUAGUGGGUUU